CCCUUAGAUGUUCUGGGCGGCCCGCGCACUACAUUGGCACUGGCAACAAGAUCCUAGAUCUGAUAUUUCGGGGUAUUCUACCAACUGGUGUCGUGACUGGGAUUAACCCCUGCAAUUAUUGGUUAUGAACGAGGAAUUCCUUGUAAUCACGGUUUAUCAACCCGUGUUGAAUGCGUCCCUGCCCUUUGUACACACCGCCCGUCGCUCCUACCGAUGAAUCGUCCGGUGAAGUUCAUGGAGUCGCGGCUGCUCCAGCUGUUUUCGAAGUGAAAUGGACCUCAUGAUUUAGAGGAAGGAGAAGUCGAACA
RNAcentral lists this ribosomal RNA (308 nucleotides) under uncultured eukaryote. RNAcentral's name for it is "partial 18S ribosomal RNA". It matches the Rfam family "Eukaryotic small subunit ribosomal RNA", at positions 1470 to 1796 of the family's 1831-position model. The record is from RNAcentral.